Molecule: transfer RNA, 64 nt
Filed under: Scolytoplatypus wugongshanensis
Lineage: Eukaryota; Metazoa; Arthropoda; Insecta; Coleoptera; Curculionidae
Description: tRNA-His
Source: RNAcentral
AUUUAAAUAGUUUAAAAAAAAUAUUGGUUUGUGGAGCUAAUGAUAUAAUUUCUUAUUUUAAAUA